AUUGAAUCUUGUUUAUUAUUGUUGAUUUAUUGUAUCAAGCUUUUGUGGGUGAAGCAUAUUUAUUUGAUAGUGGUGCUACUUAUUCGUCGUGGGUGAGGUAGCUGGUGCGCAAGUAUGAGCUUGGAGAAUGAAGAUGGAAGCGCCACCAAUCACAUCUCUGAAAUUGGUGAUGAAGUUCGGAAGCAUCCAAAAGUAUCAUAUACAAGAGAGUUCCUUUUGUCACUCAGUCAACUGGAGAUUUGCCAGAAGCUACCAACUGGGUUUGAUCAGUUGAUCCUGAGUGAGCUCGAGGACACCUCACGUGGCAUACAA
Molecule: unclassified non-coding RNA, 312 nt
Filed under: Hevea brasiliensis (rubber tree)
Lineage: Eukaryota; Viridiplantae; Streptophyta; Magnoliopsida; Malpighiales; Euphorbiaceae
Source: RNAcentral